ACUCCUACGGGAGGCAGCAGUAGGGAAUCUUCCACAAUGGGCGCAAGCCUGAUGGAGCAACACCGCGUGAGUGAAGAAGGGUUUCGGCUCGUAAAGCUCUGUUGUUAAAGAAGAAUACGUAUGAGAGUAACUGUUCAUACGUUGACGGUAUUUAACCAGAAAGUCACGGCUAACUACGUGCCAGCAGCCGCGGUAAUACGUAGGUGGCAAGCGUUAUCCGGAUUUAUUGGGCGUAAAGAGAGUGCAGGCGGUUUUCUAAGUCUGAUGUGAAAGCCUUCGGCUUAACCGGAGAAGUGCAUCGGAAACUGGAUAACUUGAGUGCAGAAGAGGGUAGUGGAACUCCAUGUGUAGCGGUGGAAUGCGUAGAUAUAUGGAAGAACACCAGUGGCGAAGGCGGCUACCUGGUCUGCAACUGACGCUGAGACUCGAAAGCAUGGGUAGCGAACAGGAUUAGAUACCCUGGUAGGAUAGCG
Molecule: ribosomal RNA, 473 nt
Filed under: uncultured bacterium
Lineage: Bacteria
Description: bacterial SSU rRNA
Rfam family: Bacterial small subunit ribosomal RNA
Source: RNAcentral